CCUACGGGUGGCAGCAGUGAGGAAUAUUGGUCAAUGGACGCGAGCCUGAACCAGCCAUGUAGCGUGCAGGAUGACUGCCCUACGAGUUGUAAACUGCUUUUGUACAGGAAUAAACGCAGGUACGUGUAUCUGUCUGAAAGUAUCUUACGAAUAAGGAUCGGCUAACUCCGUGCCAGCAGCCGCGGUAAUACGGAGGAUUCGAGCGUUAUCCGGAUUUAUUGGGUUUAAAGGGUGCGUAGGCGGUCGGAUAAGUUAGAGGUGAAAUCCCGAGGCUCAACUUCGGAAUUGCCACUGAUACUGUUAGGCUAGAGAGUAGUUGCGGUAGGCGGAAUGUGUGGUGUAGCGGUGAAAUGCUUAGAGAUCAUAAAGAACACCGAUUGCGAAGGCAGCUUACCAAGCUACUACUGACGUUGAGGCACGAAAGCGUGGGGAGCAAACAGGAUUAGAUACCCGAGUAGUC
RNAcentral lists this ribosomal RNA (460 nucleotides) under uncultured bacterium. Its description in RNAcentral is "partial 16S ribosomal RNA". It matches the Rfam family "Bacterial small subunit ribosomal RNA", at positions 338 to 795 of the family's 1533-position model. The record is from RNAcentral.